Macaca mulatta (Rhesus monkey) is the source of this 1213-nucleotide non-coding RNA. The record is from RefSeq and is a predicted model, not a curated record. Lineage: Eukaryota; Metazoa; Chordata; Mammalia; Primates; Cercopithecidae.
GCGGGCGGUUGCCACGCCCAACCCCACCCUGCCCCGCCCCCUUUCCCGCUCCGCCCCAGGGGCGCCCUCUUUCCCUGCCUCGCGAGACCUGGGCCGAGACCUCGGGAAUGCUCCGGGCUCCUGCCGGCCUCUCCCGGCCGGGUUCUCUUACACUAAAAAUAGGUGACUGUGGCGGCGCCCCUCCUAUGGGGCCUUGGGGGAAAUUGGGGUUUUGUCUUAGAGCCCGUGUGGACCCCGAUGGCGAUGCCAGCCCGAGGAGAGGGAGGCGGCUUUCCGACGACCAGACCCUGCAGGAUUCGGCCUUUCCCUUCGGAGUUUUCCUCCAACCCCCUCCGUCCCUCCCAGGGGAUGCCCGCAGGCCACGGUGGUCACUGAAGUUCAGCCCUGAGCCGAAGGAGACGUGGCCUCGACCCUGGGGGCCCCUUCAGGUGUAGCUUGAGGGGGAACGGCCGCCUUUCCCGUUGGGCACCCAGCUGUGGCUGUGCCCGGUCCUCGCCCAGCUCCCGGCAUAGGCAUGCACUCUGGGCCGGGGCCGGGGCCCCCGUCUCUCCAGGAGGAAUCGCUGGGUUGACUCUGGGUCAGCAAAGGGAGCCCGGCCCCUUCUAGCGGGGGGACGUCCUGCAGCCGCUGGAGGAGGCUGAGUCAGUCAAGCUCAUCCCACCAGAAGUCUCCCUGUGCCUGCGCCCGCCGGGCCUGCCGGCCUCUGCCUUCUCAUCCAGGGCGCCUCUUCUCUAGCCUCACAGAGGUGGGAAGCUUGCUGGAGGCCCCCACCUGCCUUUUUGGGAAGACCCCGAGGCUGGCCCAGGCCCUGUUGGCAGGACCCUUCCUGACUGGGUCCACCGUUCCUCUGGGUCUCACCACUUCUCCAAGCCCCUGGGCUGCCUCCUUUCCCCCGUGUCUGGGACCCCAGAGGCACCACUUUCAUUCCACACAAGUAAAAUGCUGUUGAAGACCCACGGACGUGACUGCACCCCUCACUAACUGGUCACUGGUUUGGGGAGGAACACCAAUGUCCCAGUGGAACCUUGAGAACACCUUGGAGUCCUCCUCUUCCUCUCUGGACCUGAGCCAAACUGUGAGUGGCACAGAGCAAGGACCAUAUGUAUUCUGUUCAUUGUUGCAUACUCAGUUCAUUGACCACAGUGCCAAGCACACAGUGAGCACUCCCUGUGUAUCUGCUAAGUAAAUCAACGAACAAACCCAACACAUUUCA